RNAcentral lists this ribosomal RNA (207 nucleotides) under uncultured bacterium. RNAcentral describes it as "partial 16S ribosomal RNA". It matches the Rfam family "Bacterial small subunit ribosomal RNA", at positions 567 to 774 of the family's 1533-position model. The record is from RNAcentral.
GAGCGUAGGCGGUCAAGCAAGUCAGGGGUGAAAGGCAUCGGCUCAACCGAUGUAAGCCUUUGAAACUGUUUGACUUGAGUGCAGGAGAGGAAAGUGGAAUUCCUAGUGUAGCGGUGAAAUGCGUAGAUAUUAGGAGGAACACCAGUGGCGAAGGCGACUUUCUGGACUGUAACUGACGCUGAGGCUCGAAAGCGUGGGGAGCGAACA